GUUUUGUGUGAUCGCUACAAUCUCUUCCCUUCCAAUAGGACAACCUCUGACCAUGUGAUUUCCUUGACUUUGUCUUCUCUACUGAGGCACUGUUUGUCUUUAUCAAUUCUAUUUUUCUAGAUUUUAUUUGGCAACUGGGAGCAUGUUUGCCUCCUGGCAAUCUUAUCAAUACUGGGUAGUUUAAGAAAGAUCAACAACAAAGAAAAUAUCAAAGAGUCUGCAGUGGCUUGACUUCACCCCUGGACUUUCAGAUGGCCGUUCUUGUUCCAGCCACUUUCCUUAUUCAAUGUCCCUCUUGGGUGGAGGAGUAAAUCACAGUAAGAUCAGGAAUAACAGUGGAUCCUAUUGGCUGUGGCUUUGUUUUCAGAGCUGGGUUUGACUGCUACUCUCAGAAUGAAGAACCCUCCCUCAGAACCUCUGAAGGGUGAUGCUCUUGAGGGCUCGGCUGCCAGCAAGCAUGGGUGUCAAGUCUUCGGCCACGGUAACACCUCAAGCGUCAUGAAACAGAGGAUUCUCCAAAGAAAAGCACGGCUCAGCAAAUGGAGACUAGCGUGCAGAUUCCCUGGCCUUCAAGCUUAGGGUCCAGAGAUACCAAGUACUUGUGGAACGAAGAAAAGAAGAAACCCCAUUAUAAAAAGUCGCUUUUCCACUUGAUGAAAAAAAUCUAAACCAGCAAAUCAAGUUAAAGCCCCCAAGAAAACUCUAGAGGGUCCUUGGCUUAGAAUGAACCUCACAACCAGACACCACUCUCCAAGAUUUUUACUCCAACAGCCUGGUUUGAUGGGAGACAUCCCAGCCCUUCAGCCUCCAAUUGUGAUAAAUCGCUAAGGAGACCAUUGCCUAGAUCCACACACAGUUCUGAGAGACCUUAACGCUUGCUCCUCUCAAUUCCCGUGCUGUCCCUAACCGGAAUCGGGAACAACUGGAAAAAGACAACAUGGCAAACCGGAUAUUCUUUGCCACCAGCAGGGCUGUGCUAGGAGCAGACAGCGUUAACCAUGCAGUGUUCUUGUUGACAAUGUUUAGCCUGAAUUUCAUCAUGAGGUCGUUAUCAGACACCUGCAGAAUUGAGACCAUUGACCAAGACAACUGGCCUGUCUUCCAACAGUCAAUGCCACCACAAGUAAGACAAGAAAAAGAAGAGAUAUUUUGGGUUCCAAAGGACUGAAAAGAUUAUGUUGUUAUAUUUCUUUGGUCUGUUUGAACCAAAAACAUCUCCUACCUUUUUGUGGUUGUCUGUGGUGGUGGUGACGUUGCCUUGUUUGGAGAGGAAAGGUCAGUCGUCUGGCUCAAUGGUCUACGUUCUGAAGUUGUCUGACCGUUUCCUCGUGAUUAAAUUCAGGCUCA
Non-coding RNA from Ceratotherium simum simum (southern white rhinoceros), 1347 nucleotides. The record is from RefSeq and is a predicted model, not a curated record. NCBI's taxonomy places the organism in Eukaryota, Metazoa, Chordata, Mammalia, Perissodactyla, Rhinocerotidae.